GCUCUCGGCCGUCGCUGCCCAACGAGCUUCGAUAAACUGCUCUUUUACUGACACUCUGCAGGGACCAUCCGAAAGAGAAAAUGGGGGGAGAACCCAGGACUCUGGCGUUCUGUUCUCCUAAUAAACUGAGGUUACGAUUGCAAGGUGUACGUAUGUGGGCGGUUGGACCAAUGCUGCCAUCUCGUGGCUGAAACCCCCAACAUACCGCUGCCUGCCUUAAGACCGCGCUGUGGUUUGAGGUGGUUUUAGGCGCGGGCCGCAGACGGGUGAAGCAAAGGAAGAUUUAAUUUGUCAGCCCAGUUAGACCUCCCCAGAUUCCCUGGUUUACUGAAUGGGGCAGGACUUAUGAAAACUAUAGAGAUGUGCAAAAGAACAACCAUCCUUCUCUCUGCUACUAUGAAUUUUGACUUUUUAAGAUUCUACAUGUAAAUGAUAUAAUGACAGCACCCCUGGACAUAGAGAAGUUCUCAGGCCAGGGGUGGAAUCUCUAGCCGCCGGCCUGCACCACAACCACAGCAACUCCAGAUCCAAGCCACAUCUGCGACCUACACCACAGCUCACAGCAACACCAGGUCCUUAACCCACUGAGUGAGGCCAGGGAUCAUACCUGAAUCCCCAUGGAUAUUAGUCGGGUUUGUUACUGCUGAGACAUGAUGGAACGCCCACCAUUUCUUUUUUUAAGUUAAAGUUUUGAUUUUAUGUUUAUCUUUUAUUAUAAAAACUCAUUAUAGAGUUUUAUUUUUUUCCACUAUAGCUGGUUUACAGUGUUCUGUCAAUUUUCUCCUGCAUAGCAAGGUGACCCAGUCACACAUACAUGUAUACAUUCUUUUUUCUUACAUUACCAUGCUCCAUUACAAGUGACCAGACACAGUUCCCAGUGCUAUACAGCGGGAUCCCAUUGCUUAUCCAUUCCAAAGGCAGUAGUUUGCAUCUAUUAAACCCAAAUUCCCAGUCCAUCCCACUCCCUCCCCCUCCCUCUUGGCAACCAGAAGUUUGUUCUUCUUGUCCAUGGUUUUCUUUUCUGUGGAAAGAUUCAUUUGUGCCAUAUAUUAGAUUCCAGAUAUAAGUGAUAUCAUAUGGUAUUUGUCUUUCUUUUUCUGACUUACUUCACUCAGUAUGAGUCUCUAGUUCCAUCCAUGUUGCUGCAAAUAGCAUUAUUUUUUUCUUUUUUUUUAUGUCUGAAUAGUACUCCAUUGUGUAUAUAUACCACAUCUUCUUAAUCCAAUCCUCUGUCGAUGGACAUUUAGGUUGUUUCCAUGCCUUGGCUAUUGUGAAUAGUGCUGCAAUGAACAUGUGGGUGCAAGUGUCUUUUUCAAGGGAAGUUUUGUCUGAGUAUAUGCCCAAGAGUCGGGUUGCUGAGUCAUAUGAUAGUUCUAUGUAUAGUUUUCUAAGGUACCUCCAUACUGUUCUCCAUAGUGGCUGUACCAGCUUACCUUCCCAUCGACAGUGCAGGAAGGUUCCCUUUUCUCCACACCCUCUCCAGCAUUUGUUAUCUGUGGCCCUUCUGACUGGUGUGAGUGACUUUAUGUUUAAAAGUUAACACAUCUUGAGUUUUCUGAGCCAACAAGCAUGUUCUCUAACACCAUAUUCUACAAGUGGAUAUUGAAAUAAAUUUUAGCUAAAAUAUAUCAACAGAAGAAUUCCUACUAUUCCUUAAAUACAUUUUUGGUUUUUAACAUUCAGUUAAUUUAAAUUCUUCUAGUGCUUACAUUGAAUUAUGGUGGUUUUUCCCCCUUUUUCCCCAGCAGUUACUGAAAUAUACUUGACAUAUAAUAUUGUACUACUUUUAGUUGUACACAUAGCGAUUUCAUAUUUGUAUACAUAGCCAAAUUAUUACCAUAAUAAAUUUAGUUAACACUCAUACCCUCACAUAGUUAUAAUUCUUUUUCUUGUGAUAAUAACUUUUAAGAUCUACUCUCCUAGCUAAUUACAAAUAUACAACAUUGUUAACCAUACUCACCAUGCUAUACAUUACAUCCCUAGAAUUUAUCUUAUGACUGGAAGUUUGUACCUUUUGCUUACCUUCACCCAUUUUGCCUCUCACCCCCAAACCCCACCUCUGGCAACUACCAAUACGUAUCUAUGAGUUUGGGUUUUCAUUUUUGUUUUUUUUUGUUUUUUGUCUUUUUAGGGCCGAAUCUGUGGUAUAUGCAGCUUCCCAGGCUAUGAGUUGAGUUGAAGCUGUAGCUGCCAGCCGAGCAGUGUCUGCCAUCUAUACCACAGCUUACUGAGCCACAAUGGGAACUCCAAGUUUGGGGUUUUGUUUUUUUUAAGAUUCCAUGUAUAGAUGAGAUCAUACAGGGUUUGUCUUUCUCUUUCUGACUUAUUUCACAUAAUGCCUUCAGGGUCCAUCUGUCAUUGCAAAUGGCAGGAUUUCCUUUAUUUAGAAAUAAUUUUAUUGAAAUAUAGUUGUUUUACAACAUUGUUCCUUCAUUUUUAUGGCUGAAUUUCCUCUGAUAUAUAUUGAUAUACUGAUGUCACAUUUUCUUUAUCCGUUCAUCCAUCAGUGGACAUUUGGGUUGAUUCCAUAUGUUGGCUGUUGUAAAUCAUCCUGCAAUGAACAUGAAGGUGCAGAUAGGUAUCUUUUUGAGAUAGUGGUUUUUCUUUCUUUUGAAUAUAUACAUAGAAGUAGGAUUGCCGGAUUAUAUGGCAGUUUUCAAUUUUUUGAUGAACCUCCAUACUGUUCUCCAUAGUGGCUAUGCCAGUUUACAUUCCCACCUACAGUGAACAAGGGUUCCUUUUUCUCCACAUCCCCACCAACAUUUGUUAUUUCUGGGUUUUUUUGAUGAUAGGCAUUGUAAGGUGAUAUCUCAUUGUGUGUGAGUGUGUGUGUGUGUGUGUGUGUGUGUGUGUGUGUGUGUGUUUGGCCAUGCCUAAGGCAUAUGGAGAUUCUCUGGGUCAGGAAUUGAACCCAUGCCAAAGCAGUGACCUGAGCCAUAGCCAUGACAGUGCUCCAUCCUUAACCACCAGGCUACCAGGGAACUCCCCCACCUAUAUUUUUUCUUCUAGGAGUUUUAUGGUGUCUAGUCUUACAUUUAGGUCUUUAAUCCAUUUUGAGUUUAUUUUUAUAUAUGGUGUUAGAGAAUGUUCUAAUUUCAUUCUUGUACAAGUAACUGUCCAGUUUUCCUAGUACCACUUAUUGAAUAGAAUAUAUUUUCUCCAUUGUAUAUUCUUGCCUCCUUUGUCAUGGAUUAAUUAACCAUAAGUGUGUGGAUUUAUUUUGGGGCUUUCUUUUCUUUUCCAUUGAUCUAUGUGUCUGUUGGAAGCACAACUGAUUAUUGUGUAUUGAUUUUGAAUACUCCAAAUUUACUGGAUUUAUUAGUUGUAAGAGUUUGUGCAUGUGUGCGUGUGUGUGCAGUCUUUAGAGUUUUCUUCCUGUAGGAUCAUGCCAUCUGCAAACAGUGAGAACUGUCCUUCUUCCUUUUAGAUUUGGAUUUCUUUUUUGUGGGGGCUCUGAUUGCUGUUUACAAUAUUUCUAGUACAAUGUUGAAUAGAAGUGGCAAGAGUGGACAUCCUUGUCUUGUACUGAAUCUUAGGAAAAAAUUAUCAGUUUUUCUGCAUUGAUUAUGAUUUAGCUGUGACUUUUCAUAAAUGGUCUCUGUUAUGUUGAGAAAGUUUCCUUUUGUACCUAUUUUGUUGAGAAUUUAUAUCACAAAUAAAUGUUGAAUGUUGUCAAA
RNAcentral lists this long non-coding RNA (3677 nucleotides) under Sus scrofa (pig). Its description in RNAcentral is "lncRNA (ENSSSCG00060025911.1)". Lineage: Eukaryota; Metazoa; Chordata; Mammalia; Artiodactyla; Suidae. The record is from RNAcentral.